UGACGAAGAGACGCUAAGGCGUUGAAGCAGUGUACGUCAGACUUCCAAGAAAAGCUCGCAGUGUCAUAAGUAAAAAAUGCCUGUACCAUAACCGACACAGGUGGGUAGGUAGAGUAUACUAAGGGGCGCGAGAUAACUCUCUCUAAGGAACUCGGCAAAAUGACUCCGUAACUUCGGGAGAAGGAGUGCCUUAUUUAUAAGGUUGCAAUAACAAGAUCCAAGCAACUGUUUAUCAAAAACACAGGUCUCCGCUAAGUCGUAAGACGAUGUAUGGGGGCUGACGCCUGCCCAGUGCCAGAAGGUUAAAGAAGUUGGUUAGUGUAUGCGAAGCUGAUGACUGAAGCCCUGGUGAACGGCGGCCGUAACAAUAACGGUCCUAAGGUAGCGAAAUUCCUUGUCGGGUAAGUUCCGACCCGCACGAAAGGCGUAAUGAUUUGGAUACUGUCUCGGAGAGAGGCUCGGUGAAAUAGACUUGUCUGUGAAGAUGCGGACUACCUGCACCAGGACAGAAAGACCCUAUGAAGCUUUACUGUAACUUGAAAUUGGAAUUGGACUUUGCUUGCGCAGUAUAGGUGGGAAGCGUUGAAGAUAUUCUUGCGGGAGUAUUGGAGCUAUCAGUGAGAUACCACUCUUGUAAUGUUAGAUUUCUAACUUUGAACCAUAAUCUGGUCAAAGAACAGUUUCAGGUGGGCAGUUUGACUGGGGCGGUCGCCUCCCAAAUGGUAACGGAGGCGUACAAAGGUUUCCUCUGAACGGAUAGAAAUCGUAUCUAGAGUGUAAAGGCAUAAGGAAGCUUGACUGUGAGACCUACAAGUCGAGCAGGGACGAAAGUCGGUCUUAGUGAUCUGACGGUACUGAGUGGAAAGGCCGUCACUCAACGGAUAAAAGUUACUCUAAGGAUAACAGGCUGAUCUCCCCCAAGAGUUCACAUCGACGGGGAGGUUUGGCACCUCGAUGUCGGCUCAUCGCAUCCUGGGGCGGUAGUACGUCCCAAGGGUUGGGCUGUUCGCCCAUGAAAGCGGUACGCGAGCUGGGUUCAGAACGUCGUGAGACAGUUCGGUCCAUAUCCGGUGUAGGCGUUAGAAUAUUGAGAGGAGCCUUCUUUAGUACGAGAGGACCGAGAAGGACACACCGCUGGUGUACCAGUUAUCGUGCCAACGGUAAACGCUGGGUAGCUAUGUGUGGAGUGGAUAACCGCUGAAAGCAUCUAAGUGGGAAGCCCACCUCAAGAUGAGUGCUCUCACAGGGUUAACCUGGUAAGGUCACGGGAAGACCACCCGUUAAUAGGCACUAGGUGGAAGUCCAGUAAUGGAUGGAGCC
This 1320-nucleotide ribosomal RNA is filed under the name metagenome. RNAcentral's name for it is "bacterial LSU rRNA". It matches the Rfam family "Bacterial large subunit ribosomal RNA", at positions 1564 to 2892 of the family's 2925-position model. The record is from RNAcentral.